RNAcentral lists this long non-coding RNA (23688 nucleotides) under Erythranthe guttata (spotted monkey flower). RNAcentral's name for it is "long non-coding RNA (EGUT_LNC003899)". The record is from RNAcentral. Lineage: Eukaryota; Viridiplantae; Streptophyta; Magnoliopsida; Lamiales; Phrymaceae.
AAAAAAUUCGGUAGUCUCCGAGCCUUCUUCUUCUUCUGUAGGUACCAGUUCAUUCUUCACUGAAAUUAUCUUCAUAAAAUUGCUGAAAAAAAUGAGAGGAACUGAAAUGCUGAUUCGUAGAGCAUUAUUCGCUAAAUCUUCCCACCAUUACGCUAUUUUUACUUAUCCCUUUUCUUUCUUCUGUUCAAAUUUUCAUAGUGUGAGUCACAAAGAUCGAUCCUUUUCACCUAAACCCAGAAUAGAUUUGAGUUGUAUAAAUGAAUUAGAUGAUGCUGUUUUCUUGUUUCGUCAAAUGGUUAGAAUGCAGCCACAGCCUUCCGUUUUUAAAUUCACCAAACUACUGCAAGUUAUUUUCAAGAUGAAGCAAUAUUCGGUUGCCCUUAAACUGUUCGACGAAAUGCGUCAAUGGGGUGCCCCUAUAGAUGAGUACACAAUGACCAUCUUAAUUAAUUGUUGCUGCCUUUUGAAACGCGUAGACAUUGGUUUUGCUAUCUUCGGCUGCUUCUUUAAACUCGGACACAAGCCAGGUGUUACGACAUUCAACACUCUCCUAAAAGGAUUCUUUUUAGAUGGUAAUGUGGCCGAGGCAGAGAAAUUGUUCAAGAAGAUCUUGACUUUGAAUCUUUGUGAGCCAGACGAUGUUACGAUUCUAACUGCGAUUGAUGGGCUCUGCAAAGCUGGACGUGUUCAUACUGCCCGUGAUUUGCUUUUGUUGUUGGAAAAAACUACUAUCUAUAAACCCGAUGUUAAGGCUUAUAACGCUGUAAUAAAUGGCUUAUGCAAGACCGGAAUGGUGGAUAAUGCACUCGAGCUGAAGUCUAGAAUGAUUGAUAAGGGCAUUUCACCUGACGUUGUCACAUAUAACUCGAUGAUUCAGGGCUUGUGCGAUUUUGGUAGAUGGAAAGAGGUGAAGGAUUUAUUAAAUGAAAUGGUGAAUCACAAGAUUUCUUUAACUGUUGUUACUUUUACUGUAUUGGUGGACGCAUUUUGCAAGGAAGGAAAUGUUAAAGAGGCUCGGGAGGUAUUGGAAAUUAUGAAGCAACAAAACAUUCGUCCCGAUAUUGUCACCUACACUGCACUGAUAGAUGGGUAUUGUUUGCAAGGGAAAAUGGAUAAAGCGAAAGAGGUAUUUGAUUCCAUAGCGAGCAGCGGCCUUAAGCCGUGUAUUAUCAGCUAUAACUCUUUAAUCAAUGGGUAUUGCAAGAACGGAAAAGUUGAUGAAGCUUGGCGUCUUUUUCUCGAAGUUUCUUCGAAAGGCUUAGAGCACACAAUAACUACCUAUAACAUCAUGAUACAUGGACUUCUUAGUGAAGGUCGAAUUAAUGAUGGAUGGAAACUUUUCAAUGAUAUGGAGACUCGGAAAGUGCAUCCUAAUUUAUUUACUUACAAUAUUUUGUUGGAUGGCUUGUGCAAGACUCAUCAGAUUUCUGAAGCAUUUUCAUUUCUACGGGCGAUGGAAGAUAAAGGAGCAAGUCCUGAUAUAAUCACGUAUCGUAUCCUGAUUAACGGUUUGUGCAGGGAUGGGAAACUUGAAGAUGCAAAACAUCUUUUAAACGAACUUCCUUCGAAAGGUUUGCAACCUGAUUGUCAAGCGUAUACCAUUGUUGUUGGUUCACUUUGUCAUGAAGGAUUUGUAGACGAGGCAAAAAAUUUGCUUGUGAAAAUGAAGAGAAGCGGUUGUGCACCGAAUAGCGUGACAUACAACAACAUAAUCCAAGGUUUGCUAAAGAGGAAAGAGGUUUACAAGGCAAUGCCAUUCUUAGAGGAAAUGUACAAAAGGGGAUUCUCGGCCAACGCAGCUACUUCGUCCAUGUUAAUUAAUCACCUUCAAGGAUCCAAGAAAGAUGUUGUUCUUCUGAAAAUGAUGAAGAAAGUUGUGCCAAAAAUAUAAAUUAUUUAUUUGAGCUUCUGUAAUAACACAGUUUUGCGAUGACUUGGUACGAUUUUUUGCGAUGUGUUUCCGAUUGAAGUGUGUAUAUCAUGUUGGCCUAGUGAAUAUCCUUUCAAAUUAAAUGCACAUCCCAUCUUUCUGCCCUUUAAUACUUUUUUCCUCCGAUGAUUAUACAUAUACUUUGAAAACGUGGGUGGAUCAAUGCUCAAGGCUGUGCUGCUCAACAUGAGGAUCCAUGGUCGUAUCAUUUUUUUUAUUAAUCUCAUCUCAAAGCGCGUAUGAAUGCAGGGAUUCGAAAGUGGCCCUUAUACGUAUGUCUUUUUUCUGGGAAAAUAUAGGCAAGCAGAUUAUUUGUGUAGCUAAUGAAAAAAAACUAGGAUAUGAGAUAUUGUCCACUUUUGUACUGUUGAAGGCUCCAUCUCUGUUAUUUUGUGUGUCCGUAAAAAAGAUAAAAAUUAAUAAAUUAAAAGAAGAAGAAGAAAUUUUCUAUGCUAUUUAGUGCGAAUGUGUCACAUAGUCCUGCUACAGCGUAUAGCGUUAUAUUCAUUACAAGUUAAUAUUUUCUUGUUUCUUUUUUUUUUUUUUUUUUUUUUUUUUUCUGGAAAAAUGUUCCACAUCAAAUUACUGGCUGCAAAUCAACAAAAUAAUUUUUUUAUUAGAAAUCAAUAUAUAGCAAAUCAAUCAAAUAAAUUUCAAUUAGAAAUCAGUAAAUUUAAAAUAUAUUACUUCUCCAUCAUCAAUUUUUACCCGACCCGCCCCGAAAUUUCAGGGUAAUACCCGCCCCGCAAAUAAAUGCGGGGGUACGGAUUCUAAUUGUUCACCUGAAAACGGGUUCGGGGCGAGUGCGGGUUUGUAUAUACCCGCCCCGUACCGCCCCAUAGACCCGCCCCGCAUCUAUAUAUAUAUAUAUAUAUAUAUAUAUAUAUAUAUAUAUAUAUAUAUAUAUAUAUAUAUAUAUAUAUAUAUAUAUAUAUAUAUAUAUAUAUAUAUAUAUAUAUAUAUAUAUAUAUAUAUAUAUAUAUAUAUAUAUAUAUAUAUAUAUAUAUAUAUAUAUAUAUAGCAGGGCGGGUACCUGCGGGUUUUCUAUGGGGGGGGUGCGGGUUGAGAAAAUUUAUACCCAUUGCGGGGCGGGUGCGGGUUGAACGGGUUUGUUAACGGGGCGGGUGCGAGGAAUGCAAAACCCGCCCCAAACCCGCGCCAUGACCAUCCCUACCUUUUACCAAUAUCCCCUUUUGAUAUUUAAAUUAAGGGCUCUUAUGAUAUAGGUCUCCGGUGACAAAACUAAUUUGAACUAAAUGACAAGCCUAACUAAACUUUUGUUUCACAUCCUUUAUUAAAUUCAUUCAAAAAAUGCCCCUCCAUACAUAAAUUCGAAUUUGUAUUAAUUAAAUUCAAGCUACAUUUUAUCAUUUUAUUAUGCAUUUAAUAUCUUCAUUUUUUCAUCUAAUAAUAUAUUUUAUUUUAUUUUUACCGACUUGGUCAUCUUUAUUUAUUCGUUUUUUACUCUAACAUUUUUUACGUUAUUAUAAGUAACUUUUUUUUAGAACAUUUUAUUGAAAAUUACGAAAAAAUAUUUUUUUUCGUUUUUAUCAAAUAUUACAGCAGAUUUUUAAAAUACUAUAGUGUACUAUGGUAUACUAUGUUAUGCUAUGCUAUUGUAUAGUGUAUACUAUGGUAUUCUACGGUAUAUUAUGGUGUACUAUUCUGAACGCUAUCAUUCAACAACUCCCAGCUGCUGCCAAACCCUCUUCCAGCCACCGUUAAAUCAUAGCACCCAACAAAUUUCAGCCACCGCCAAACCAAAUCUGCAAAAACAUAGUCGUCCACCAACCCUAGCCGCCGACCAAAUUAAACCCUAGCUGCUAUAGCCAUCGACCAAAUUAAACCCUAGCCCCCGACCAAAUUAAACCCUAGCCGUCAACAAAAUUAAACCCUAGCCGCCAUAGCCGUCGACCAAAUUAAAACCUAGCCGCCACCAUCCGCCAUAGAUCAGACCUCCACCACCAUAGUCGCCAACGUCAACUGCCUCCAUAACCAUCAUCUUAUUGUCGCCGCCUCCAUCGCCAUAGUUGCGCCAUAGCCAUCCCUCCUCAACAAUGGAGUGAAGUAAUGGAGAGGGAGAAUGAGAGAAAGAGAGAGAAAGAGAACGAGAGAAAGAGAGAGGGAGAGAGAUAGCGAGAACGAGAGAAAGAGAGAGAGAGAUAGCUUAUUGUGAGAGAGAGCAGAGAGAACGAGCGAAACGAGAGAGAAGAGAGAAGAAAUAAAACAAAUAGAUUUGAGAGAAGUGUGACUGUAGAAUUUAUGGUUUAGGUUGAGAGCAAAUUUGGGAUAAAAAAAAUGUAAAAGAUAUGGAUCAUAUUUAUUUUUGUAAAAAUGAUUUAGUUCAUAAAAAUAUAUUAGGGUUGUAUCUCACAUCUAAUUAUGUUUCCAACUAGGGACCUCUAGUAUAUUAACCCUUAAAUUAAUCAUAAAUCCUUUGCUACCUAAUAUACCCAAGUUACCUUUUUUACUUCAUUACCCCUACUUCUUGAAACACGUUGUCAUUCACUCAUCCACUCUCCUCCUUCUCUCUCUUGCGACACAUUUUUUUUUUUUGAGUAAAUUCAAGUUCAUUACAAGGGGAAGUAGGGGAGGGAUGGACUCGAACCCUAGACUUUAAUUACCCUACUGGUAAAGGCUAGGUACCAACUCUCCUCAUGAGGGUUGGUGACACAAUUCAACUCUUUCCCCCUCUCUUCUCGAUCAAUCCACUUCAAAGCCACAACGUUUUAUCGAUUCGAUUGGAAUUAAAAUGUUGCGCAGACAUUUCAUAUGACUCCAUUGAGAUAAGCGUAGAUAAGGAGGUUAAAUUUGAACAGCCACCGGACGGAGAGGAAUAAGAGAAAAGAAGCCGACAAAUACGUAUGUGCCUCUAGCGGUCUUAUCGUUUUGUACAGUGGUGAAUAGUCAACUGGAUAAAUUACACUGUCGGUCACUGUAAAAAAAUAAUAAUAGAGAUACACUCAUGGUACACACAGAUAUCCAAAUCGUCGAACCUUUUGUAAAUAAAGGCUGGACAUUGAAGAUAUAUCUGAUUCAAGACUAUGGUUUUGAGUUUUUUUCGAUAUGUAGUUGAUUUUUACUUUUCUUGUUGAGUUUUGUUGUAGCUGAUUUCGAUAAUUUGUUAGUUGGUUUUGGUGAUUUUGUAGUUGAUUUCGGUGAUUUUUGUAGUUACUUUCGGCGAUUUUGUAGUUGAUUAUGAUUUUGUACAGUCAUUUUUGUUAUAAUAAAUAGUUGUUUUGAAUUGUAUGUACGUUAAAAUUAUAGCUGGUUAUCUAAUAAAAUAUAGUUGAUUAUCUAAUAAUAUUUUGUAGUUGAUUACUGUAAUUUGUAGCUGAUUAUAAUUUUAGUUAAUAAAGAAAAAAAAAUUAAAAAAAAUUGUAGUUGAUAAUUGUAAUUUGUAAUUGUUUAUGAUGCGGUAAAUCUAUCAGGGAAAAAAAGAUGAAUUUAAAAAAAAAAUAAUUUAUAAAAAUUAAUUUAUUAAAAAAUAAAUUUAUUAAAAAAAAGUAGAAAAUAUGGUAAAUCUGUCAGGGGAAAAAAAGACAAAUUUAUUAAAAAAAUAAAUUAAUUGAUUAAAAAAUAAAGUUAUUAAAAAAAGUAGAAAAUAUAACGAUAUAUAGGUAGUGGGUAACAUGGGUGGGAAAAUGGAAUAAUGUAAUGGUCUAAUGGAGUUAUAUGAUAAGUUAGGGGGACUCUUAAAUGCAAAUAACAAAGUGAGUUUAGUUCUAUGAAAACAAAUAAUGAGGGGGUUCUCGCUAAUUGACCCUUCGUUAUUUGGUUAUUUUCGAAAAUCAUGUUAUUACUAUAUUUAGGAAAGUUACAAAAUUCUUUUGGAGAGUUUCGAACAAGGAUUGGAUUUUUUUGGGAAGAAAAUAAAAAAUCUAUGUUUCCUUAAAAAGUACUCCCUCAGUUCCCUUUUAAUAGUCGUUUUAUAUUUGCACACGGAUUUAGGAUUCUAUUAAAUUUGUCUUGAUUUUAUGAAAAAUGUAUGUUUUUAGAUUGAAAUGACCUUAUCUUAUAGUUAAUAAAAGAGGCAAAUGAAUUAAAAAAUAAGUAUAAGAAGAAUUAAUAAUGGUAUAAACUGGAAAUUAAGUAAUUAAUGGAGUAUUGGAAAUCUAAAGUGACAGAUAAUAUAAAACAAAAUAUAUUUAAAAAGAGAGAGUUAUUAUGGAACAUAGGGAGUAUCAUUUAUCUAAUGCAACCACUUAUAAAAUUUUAUAUGUAUUUUUUUCUAAAAACCAUUGUAUACGUAUUUAACUAGAGAUAAUUACAGUUUUGGUCGUUAAACUUUUGUGACACAAAAUUGAUCCUCAAAUAAUUAGUUUUUUUACACUCAGCAAAUAAUUACAGAAUUGUCAUGUAGUAGUAUUUACAGAAACUAGUAUUCACCCGUGCGAUGCACGGGGCGACAUAUUUUGAAAUGGAAAAACAUGUCUGAAAAAUAAAUUUACGCAGAUAUCUAUUAUUUAAGUACAAAAUGUCAUCGACCAAUAAUAAUAAAACUAUGUUAUAAGUGUCAUGUUUUUCAUAGUUAUAAUAUAAGAAUACUAUUAAAUAUUAGUAUAUCGGCAAAAAUAAAUCUUAAAGAUAAUACGAUUUGCACCGAGCACCCUCGGGACAUGACUAAAAAUAACAUUGCACCGAGGAAAAUAUAUAGAGAAGAAACACAUGCAAAAGAAUAAGUUCUUUAAAAAAUAAAAAAAACAUGUUACAUGAAUAACUCAUAAAUAUGAAAAUAUUUAUACGUUCAAAUUCGAUGAAAUACUUCCUUGUACACGACAUUUCUAGUAACAUUGGUGAGUUCACCCGAAUCAGACUUGAUGAAUAUCUUAAUGUCAGCUCUGCUCUUAACUCUGGACAGUGCAACAUAUAGUUGACCAUGGCUGAAGACAGGCCUAGGAAGAUACAAACCAACAUGCGAAAGAGUUUGGCCUUGACUUUUAUUGAUCGUCAUUGCAAAAGAAACAAUCAACGGAAAUUGUCUUCUCUGAAAUUUAAUUGGCAGUCCGGAGUUAGAUGGUAUUAAAGUCAUCCGAGGAAUGAACACCAUGUCACCGAUAUUUUUUCCGGAAAGAAUUUUGCAACUCAGAACGUGAAUGCCAGUUCUAAUAAUUUGAAGUCAGGUACCGUUGCACAAUCCUCUAGCUUGAUCGAUGUUUCUUGUUAGCAUAUCUGGUGCACCAACCUUGAACUUCAACGCAUGAGAAGGAACUCCGGAGCAUCUUAUUGUGUUGAGGAAUUCAGUCGAAUAAAUUUCUGCAUUAUCCUCCGUUGUUUGCUCGCCCCUACACAUAUUAUCUGAGCUCAGGUAUACCUUCUCCUCUAUUGGAAGCAGAGACAUUAAGUGAUCGUUCACAGACUCGACGCAUUCAUUAGUUGGUGCAAGAGUGGCCCUCCCUUGAAAAUAAUCUGGAUCGUACAUGUUACUCAACAAAUCCGGGUAAACGAAUUCGAGUAGGUCUCUGAAUGGAUCUUCUGAAUCACCGAUCAACAUGCAUCUGGAAUCUCUAUCGAAGCUUCACCAUCAUUGUCUUCCCCAACAUCCCCAUUAGCAACAUUCAAUAUCCAGUCUCCAAAUUCUUUUAUCUCAUUCACGUUAGAUGGAGAAGAGCAUGACUGCAAUCUCAUGUUCUUAGUCAACUUCAUGACACGACAGAAAUUCCACAGCGGAGAGGAGUUUAUCGUAGCAUGUACUAUGUCCUGCCUUGAGGCUUUGAGCACAACUGGUAAAAUCUGCCUAAAAUCUCCUCCAAGAACAACCACCUUACCACCAAAGGGUUUGUCAACUUGUAGUAUUGACUUCAUUGUCUUGUCAAGGACUUCAAAACAGUAUCUAUGCAUCAUAGGAGCCUCGUCCCAUAUAAUAAGUUUUGCCCUCAUGAGCAACUCCGCCUGUGGACUUUGAUGCGAUAUGCUGCAGGUGGAACUCUCAUGUACAUUUAUGUUAUUUGUAUAUGGUAUAUUUAUGUAAGUAUCCAUAUAAUAUGAAUAUUUAAAUUGGACAUAAAUUCGGAAAGCUAGGAAUGUGGCAUAAUUACAUGAAUUCAAUACGUAUAAAAAAGAUACUUAAGUGUGUUAAAUAAGAAAAUUUAUGUUAUGAAUCAUUGAUUUAUCAAUUUAAUUAGUAAAUAAACUAAAUAACAUGUAUUUGAACUUUAUGAUUAAGAAAAAUAUAUGAAAAUUCCUAUAUAAUUAAUUUUAGGACACGUGGGCUUUUUGUUAAUAAUAAUAAUACUAUAUAUGGAUUGUUUUGUAAUAAUAUUAAUAGUAUACAAUGAUUGCUUUGUAAUAAUAUUUUUUUACAAAUGAACAUUUUAAUUGAAUAUUGAUAAAAAAGAACUAUAUAAAAGUGACGAUUAUUAAAAAAAACAUUGGUACGGAAUAUUUUUGAAUAAGUAAUUAAUUUAUUGAUAAUACGAUUUAAAGAUAAAACAUAAUAAUCUAAUCGACAUUCGCAACAAUAAUUACAUUUCUUGUACUGUCAAACGCAAACGAAUAAGUAUUGCCAAUAACCAUAUUGUUGGAAGAACAAAACGAUUUCCAGCCAAUAGUGAGGUAGACAUUAGGUUUUUUACGUCUUCUUGUUGUACGUACUCUAAUAUUCCUCGUUGUACCACCGUGAAACUCAACAUCGAUGUAGUUUUUGCCAAUCAACCCAUGAUUCUUAGCAAAAGAUUUGCGUAUAUACUAUAACGUAUGCAAAUGAAAAAAUUAGAAUAAAUAUAAUGAUAAGUUUAUGUUAACAUUCAAUGAAAAUUUCACAUUAAGAAAUGAUAUUACCUUCUGGUGGAGAUCUUUGAACGUAAAAUUUCUCUCAAAGUAGAUGAGUGAGGCAUUAAUGUUAGUUACAUCGUCAUCAAAAUGAAAUUCAUUUUCAUUAGAAAAUGGUUGAUACAUCGUCAUGUUGAAAGACCAAUCGCAUUGACCACACCUCCACACAGAGCCGAAGUGCCGACGUUCAUUCGACGGUAUACACAUAUAAUGUGUAAACACACAUUCACACAACCCACAAUUGAAAAAAGUUUUGUAAUCUUCUGUUUCAACUACACCACAUAUAAAACAUGGCCCCGUGCGCAGUUCGACUUUGAUAGAUUCUCUGCAUGAAAUACACAUACAUGGAUCCAAAUUGCGAUCAAAAUGGUUGUUGCAAAGUGUUAGUUGAAUUUCCAUUUUCCUGUCGAACGAAUUUUUAAUCUACUUUCCAAAUUAUGCUUACAAUCCAUACUAUAUAAUCUACCCAACUCAAGGGGAGGGGGGAUACUAAAAUCCGUACAGUAAUGUGCGUAAAGAAAUGUGGAGUGAAAGAACGAUUAAAAAAUAUAAAAUCAAUAAUUCUUGAGUGAAAACAUUUACCUACAACAAAUUGAAGUAUGUGGCUUGAGUAUUGAAAAUAACAUUGAGUUGGGUAGAUUAUAUAGUAUGGAUUGUAAGCAUAAUUUGGAAAGUAGAUUAAAAAUUCAAAAUUCACAUUUAAAAAAUGAGCGUUAAUCUAUGAAUAACUUGUAUAUGGUGAUAUUUUAAAAAUAUAAUUGAUUUAAUUUAACAUUGCAUAAAUUAAUACUCUUUCUAUAAUCAAAGUAUUUCAAAAUAUAUGGGUAUUUAAAAUAAAUUUAGAAAAUACAGACAUUAUACUCAUAUCAAUAUUUAAUUAUUAUAGUCUACGGAUUUCAAAAUUAAUGUCAAAGUUAAUACAAAAAAGGCUAAAAAUCUUAUAUAGAUGAUUAAUAUAUUUGCCUUAAUAACGUAUAUGUUAUUGAAAAUAUCGGAUACUAUUACCAUAAACACAACGUGAUAUUAAAGAACAUAGAUAUUAAUAGGUUAUAGUAGAAUGUAAAAUAUUUAAUUUAUAUAUUGAAAAGACAUUUACGUGUGAAUAAGUUGGUUAUUAAACAUGUUACAAUAAUUUAUUAUUGUUAAUUUAAUACAUGUAAUUAUAAAAAGCAUUUUGACCGGUAUUAAUUCAUCCUUUUUAUUUUAAAAUAUAUUAACACAUGGGUGAUUAAGCUGAUUCAUAUGUAAAUGUUUCAUAAAAUAUAUUACAUAGAUCGUAGAAUAUAAUAUAGAUUAUUAUAUUUAUAAAGAUAAAUAUUUACGUAAAUAUAACAAUGUUAUAUAUAUGGGUACUCUCUUUCGUAUGACAACUUAUAAUCUUUGUAGCGGAUUGCAAAGGAAAGGGCAAACAUAAAGGAAAUAUGUAUUAUACUUAANNNNNNNNNNNNNNNNNNNNNNNNNNNNNNNNNNNNNNNNNNNNNNNNNNNNNNNNNNNNNNNNNNNNNNNNNNNNNNNNNNNNNNNNNNNNNNNNNNNNGAAUUUUGAUAGCAAUUGUCAUAAAAAACAAGAUUUUGUUUACAUUAUUAUGAUAAUAUUUAUAUUUAUUUUGAAUCACAAAUAAAAAUAUGUUUAGUAAAAUAUAAGUAGCUUUUUUAAUCCUUAUUUUUUUAUCCAUUUUUUUAAUCCUUAUAAAAGUUUGUCAAAUUUUAAUAGUAUUUCGAACGUAUACAUUCUAAUAGCAUCACCGGUUUACAUAUAUCUUACUUUGUUAAACAAUGGAAAUGAAUUAAACAAAUAAAUGUAAACUUUGUUAAGAUUUUGUUUUAAAUGAUUUGUUAUGGGUUAAAAGAUUGGGCUUUUUGUUUCAAUAUAGUUGAAUAAAUUUUUAUAUUUGCAGUCAUAUAUAACAAUUUUUUUAAUUGUAUAUGUUUUUGUAGAUAUGAUCAAGACGGACAUCUUAUAUAUUGGCAAUCAAAUGUUUACUACCCAGAAAUAUGUGUACUUUCGGUUAUGUUUACAAUUCCAUUUCAAUUUUUUGUGUACCAAUAUCAUACCAUGUGUCUUCUUUUUAAUUUUUUUUCUUUCUCAUAUUUUAGUUUGUGUACAAUCAGCGAUACAUGCGAAGCAAUUUAUUUAUUAUUUUUUUUGAUAUGAAAAAACCCCAUUAUUUAUUUGUGGCAAAUUUAUUUAUAUGCCAAAUUCCUUUGUUUUGAAUAUUUUUCGUUUCGUAUUUCAUGGUGUUGAUUUGGUUAAUCAAACAAUAAUUAUUCAAAAUAUUGUUGUUGGUUUGAUAAUGAUAUUGGUAUUGGUAUUGGUACUGGUAUUGCUAUUAUUAUUAAUAUUAAUAUUAAUAUUAGUAUUAGUAUUAGUAUGAGUAUUAGUAUAAGUAUGAGUAUGAGUAUGAGUAUGAGUAUAAGUAUAAGUAUAAGUAUUAUUAUUAGUAUGAUUGGGAUUAGUAUUAAAAUUAUGAUCAAAAUUAAUAUUAAUAUCAUGAUUAAGAUUGGAAUUGUGAUUAGUAUUAAUAUUAAUAUUAGUAUUAUAAUUAGGUCAGUAUUACCAUUAGUAUUCCUAUUUGUAUUUGUAUUAGUAUUAUGAUCAGGAUUAUGAAUAGAGUCAUCAUUACAAUUAGUAUUAAGAUUAGAAUUAAUAUUAAUAUGAGUUAUAAUAUUAGUAAUGGUACGAGCAAUAGUAAUAUUGUAAUGGUAAUAAUAUUAGUAUAAGUAUUACUAUUAAGUAUCAGAAUUAUUAUCAAUAUUAGGAUUAAUAUUAGUAUCAGUAUCAGUAUUACUAUUAGUUUUAGUAUUAAUAUUAGUAUUAUAUUGAUAUUAGUAUAGAUAAUAGUAUAAUUAGUAUUAGUAUUAAUAUUUUUAGUAUUAGUACAAAUAUUUGUGUUAGUGUUAGUGUUAGUGCUACUGUUAGUGUUACGUGUUAGUGUUAGUGUUAGUAUUAGUAUUGGUAGUAGUAGUAGNNNNNNNNNNNNNNNNNNNNNNNNNNNNNNNNNNNNNNNNNNNNNNNNNNNNNNNNNNNNNNNNNNNNNNNNNNNNNNNNNNNNNNNNNNNNNNNNNNNNAUUACGGUUUUGAUAUAAUAAGGAUUUGCAUUAGGAUUAAGAGUAUGAUUAACAUUAGUAUUAUCAUUAGCAUUAGUAUAUUACGAUUAAUAUGAAAAUUAGGAUUAGUAGUAGGAUUACGAUUAAUAUUAGAAUACUAACAUAAAUAUAUUCUAUUAACAUUAGCAUAUUAGGGAUAAUCAUUAGUAUAUUAGGAUUAACACUGGAAUUGGGAUUAGUAUUAGUAAUAGAAUUAUAAUUAGGAUUAAAAUUAGAAUUCAUAUUAGUAUUAGUAUUCCUAUCUGGAUUAAGAUUGGUAUUAGGAUUAAGAUUAUGAUUAGUAUUAGAAUUAGAAUUAGCAUCAACAUUAGGAUUACGAUUAGGAUUAAUAUUAGUAUUAGUAUUUGGAUUAUGAUUAGAAUUAGAAUUAACAUUAAAAUUAGGAUUAGUAUUAGAAUUAAUAUUAGUAUUAGCAUUAACAUUAUCAUUAGCAUUAGCAUAUUUAGAUUAGCAUCAACAUUAGGAUUAUGUUUAUGAUUAGCAUAAGCAUUAGCAGUAGAAUUGGAAUUACGAUCAACAUUAGUAUAUUAGAGGGCUUAAUUCCACAUUGCACCCUUGAAAUUGAGCCUUUUGGCACUUUGCACCCUUGAAAAACAAUAAUAGCACUUUGCACUCUCAAAACACAAUAAAUUAUUCACAAUGCACCCUGAACUGAAUAAUGAAGGAAAUUUUUUUUAUUGUUUUUUUUUUAUCAGGUAUGCAAAAUAAUACAUAAAUUAUUAUUUUCUUCAACCUCCAACCUAAUUUCGAGCGCAAAAAGUGCGGGAAAAAAAAAACACCUGAUUAUUGGAAAAAACUAUAUUUUCUUACAAAAUAAACUAAAAUAAAAUUUUAUCACUAAAUUAUUCGAUUGAUGGAUUUUCUUAUUGUAACUGGUGGAAAUAUGAAGUAAAAAUAUUUGGAAAAAAAAUAUGAUUUUCAGAUAACUUGAUAACGAAAUAGAUGAAGGAUUCUUUUUUUCGUAAAAUAUUUUAUUGGGAUAAAAAGUAUAAUUUUUAAAUAAGUUGAUGAGAUGUAUUUUUAUUUAUGGACUUUAUAGUUUCAAAAUGAUUGAUGAAUAAAAAAAAUUAUUUGACAUUUGUCAUCCUAAAAACUACCACUAAAAAUAUUAAAUUACAUUUAUUAGCUUCAAACAUUCAUUUGGGAUGCAUUAUGCAUGAUUUAUUAUGUUUCGAGGGUGCAAAGUACUAUUAAUUUAUUUCGAGGUGCAAAGUGCCAAAAUGGCAUAUUUCAAGGGUGCAAAGUGGGAUUAAGCUGCAUAUUAGCAUUAGCAUAUUAGAAUUAGAAUUAUAAUUAGAAUUAGCAUUAUCAUAUAAGUAUUAAUAUUAAUAUUAGUAUUAGUGUUAGCAUUAGGAUUAACAUUAGCAUUAGGUACAUUAGGAUUUUACUAUUAGUAUGAAUAUUAGUAUUAUGAUUAGCAUUAUGACUUGAAUUAGUAGAAUUAGUAUUAAUAUUAGCAUUAUAAUUAGAAUUAGGAUUCGGAUUAGGAUUAGCAUUAGCAUUAACAUUAGCAUAAUAUAAUUAGUAUUAAAAUUAGCGGUAGCAUUAGCAUAUGUGUAUUUUUAGGAUAAGAACUAUGAUUAGUAUUAUUAUUAUGAAUAGAAUUAGCAUUAAAAUUAAGAUUAGCAUUAUGAUUAGGACUAUAAUUAUGAUUAGGAUUAAGAUUAUGAUUAUAAUUAUGAUUAGAAUUAAUAUUAGGAUUGUAAUUUUGGUUAUGAUUAGCAUUAGAAUUAGUGUUAGGGUUAGGAUUACCAUUAACAUUAGAAGUAGAAGUAGAAUUAACAUUAAUAUAUUAGCAUUAGCGUAUUAGGAUUAAUGUGAAUAAUAGCAUAUUAGGAUUGACAUUAGUAUUAACGUAUUUGGAUUAGGAUUAGCAUUAACACUAGCAUUAGGAUUAUAAUUAUAAUUGAUAUUGACAAUGGUAUUAACAUUAACAUUAGCAUAUUAGGAUUAUCAGUAGCAUUAGUAUUACUAAUAGUAAUAGUAUUAUUAUCAGAUUAGUAUUAAUAUUUGUAAAGGUAAAGGUAAUGGUAAUAGUAAUGGUAAUGAUAUUGGUUUUGGUAUUGCUAUUUUUUUUGCUAUUGGUUUUAGUAUUAGUACAUUAGUAUUGGCAUUAGUACAUUAAUAUUAGCAUUAACGUAUUAACAUUAGUAGUAGUAUUAAUAUUAGUAUUAGUAUUAGUAUUAAUAUUAGUGUUAGUAUUAGUAUUAAUAUUAGUAUUAGUAUGAGGAAUAUGAUUAAGAUUAAUACUAAUAAAAUAAUUGGUAUUGAUAUUUGUAUUGGUUUUGGUAUUGAUAUUUGUAUUGAUAUUGGUUUUAGUAUCAGUACAUUAGUAUUGGCAUUAGUACAUUAAUAUUAGCAUUAAAGUAUUAGUAUUGGUAGUAGUAUUAGUAUUAGUAUUAGUAUUAGUAUUAGUAUUAGUAUUAGUAUUAGUAUUAGUAUUAGUAUAAGUAUUUGUAAUAGUAUUAGUAUUAGUAUUAAUAUUAAUAUUAAUAUUAGUAUUAGUAUUAGUAUGAUGAUUAUGACUAAGACUAAUACUAAUAAAAUAAUUUUUAAAUUGAAAUUUUUGAUGACAUGCUUAUCCGUGAUUCUGCAGAUCCAUUUUUUGAUCUUAUAGAGUUUGUUUACCUGGAUAUGGUGAGCAACCUGUUCAAUCCUGAGUACUUUGAGGCCAUAACAAUUAUUGCAUCGACUAAUGAAAGUGUCGGUUUUGUGAAUGAUCAUUUUUUGUCGCUCAUAACUGGAGAAGAGAAGGUUUAUUUGAAUUCCGAUAGUGUGUACAAUGAGGAGUUAAUAUCAUAGAUCUGAGUUCCUCAACACCAUAUCGUGCUCCAGAAUUCCACCUAGGUUGCAUUGAAAAGAUGUAUUCCCGUUAUGCUCAUCAAAAAUAUUGAUCAGGCUAGAGGAUCGUGCAGUGAAACUAGGCUUCAGGUUAUUAAUAUGGGAAAACACGUUCUCAAAUGCAAGACACUACCCGAUAAACAUGUUGACCAUAUAGUUCGUUCAUUGCUCAAAUGAUAUUGGUACCGUCCAACUCUACAUCGCCUAUUAAAUUUUAGCAACGUCAGUUUUCGGCGAUGGUUUCCUUUGCAAUAACAAUCAAUAAAAGUUAAAAGACAAACUCUUUCCCAUGUAGUAUUGCACUUGCUCAGACAUGUUUUCAGUCAUGGACAACUCUAUGUCACACUCUCGAGAGUUAAUAGUUGAAGUGGCAUAAGGAUUUUGAUCACCUCGGAAUCUGGCGAUACAACCAACUACAAAUAUUGUGGUACAAGGAUGUUUUUCGGCAUAUAUGAAGGUAACUAUAUAAAAUCUUAUACAAUUUUACAUAAUGACCUUUAUUUUGUAUAACUUAUAUGUUUUGGCAUUCCUCAUUUGUAGGUUAAUUUGCAUUGUACUAGGAACUUGCUACGGGCUCCACUCAAUAUUUUUAUCAAGGUAAUUUAUUGUAGAAUGAUUUUAUGUCAUUAAAUAUUUAUAUUUGUAUAAUUUUGGUAACGUUUUACUUAUUUUGUAUAAUCAUUGUACAAAAUAGCAGGUCAAUUGCAUUGUAUUGGAUUCGUUACAUGCGUUUAGGGAUAUUGUAGCUGAGACACGCUCAAAUAAGCUUCAACGAAUCAGUGAGCUCUAUCCUCUUUACUUGCCUCUACAAUAUCCUCUUUUAUUUUCUUACAGGGAAGAUGAUUAUCGAGACGAUAUCUGUUUGAGAGAAUCUUUGCUUGCUAAUAAUAGAAAAUGGAAGAAUGUAAGCAUGCGAGAGUUCUUUGCAUAUCUAAUCUAUAAACGGCGUUGAUAACAUUUGUUACUUUUGCAUUUCAAGAAGUUAUUUCAGCAGUUCUGUGUUGAUGUAUUUUCGAUGGUAGAGUCACAGAGGUUGAAUUUCAUAAGGUUCAAUCAAGAUCAACGUAACUUAGGGUUGACAUAUACAAGGGUAUCGAAGAAAAUAUUUUUAAAGAAGACAUUGAGGGUAAAUCAAUUGGACAACGCAUUAUAAUUCCAGGGUCGUUCACCGCAGGUCCAAGGUAUAUGUUUAACAACUUCGUUGAUGCUCUUCAAAUAUGUAACUGCAUUGGAUCUCCAACCCUCUUUAUUGCCAUCACAUGCAAUCCUCAAUGGUCUGAAAUACAAAGGGUGUUGAAAGAUACAAAUCUCAGGCCGGAGGAUCGGCCAGACAUUCUUUGUCGUGUGUUCAAGAUGAAGCUCGAUAGUAUGAUGACAUAAAUCAAGAAAGGUUGUAUAUUCAGACGUAUUACAGCAUGUAAGUAUUUAAUUAGAUCUCAGUUUAUAAUUAUACAUUUACUUCAUUCAUAUAAAUUAAAGAAUUUGCUCAUGUGUGAGUUUGCACGAAGCGAUUUCCAAAGCCAUUUGUGCAGCACACUAAAUCAGAUGCAGAUGAUUUUACCGUGUACAGGAGAAUGGAAGAUGGCAGAACAGUUACGAAGAAGAAGACUACUCUUGACAAUGGGUUUGUAGUCCCGUACAAUCGUAUAUUGUUGAGUAAAUACCGAUCUCACAUUAAUAUCGAGUUAUGCAACCAGAACAAGUCAAUCAAAUACAUGUUCAAAUACGUAAACAAGGGGCAUGGCCGAGUUACGGCGGCAAUUUAUGAAACACGCAAUACAGAUGGCGGUGUUGAGAUUUGUGAUGAGAUAAAGAUAUACUACGACUGCAGAUAUCUUUCGGCAUGUGAGGCAAUGUGGAGGUUUGCGAACUUGGGUUAAAAGAGGAUUCUCGAACUUGGGCGCCAAGGAAAAAAAGAUUUUCUAUUGGUAGGCUUGCGAAUGUUCCCCCUGGAAAGGGGAAAGACUAAUACCUUAGAUUGCUACUUAACAUUCAGAGGGGAUAUACGUGCUACGAGGACAUCAGAAAAGUUUUUGACACCGUCUUCCCUACGUUCAGGGAUGCAUGUUAUGUGUUGGGUUUAUUAGAUAACGACAAAGAAUACAUAUAUUCAUUAAUAGAAGUGAAUACUUGGGCACCGAGAAAUUAUAUAAGAAGGUUAUUUGUAGUUAUGCUUAUUUCCAAUAGCUUAAGUUGGCCCGAACAUGUUUGACAAAGUUGUUGGUUGGAUUUGGCUGAGAGUAUUGCUUACAAACAACAAAGUCUUCAUACUAAUCCAGGUAUGGCAAUUUGUAUAACACAUUAUUCAAUUAGAUUUUAAAUAUUACUCAUCCUUUUAAUAUUGUCGUUUUGAACUAAAUGCACAUAAUUUAUCCAUUUUUUUUUUGAAAAUUUACAUAUAUCGGAUGAAAGCUUGAAGAACUAUACUCUCACCGAAAUAGAAAAAAUAUUCCAAAGCAAUGGUAAAAGCUUGCGAAAUUACGCGCCCAUGCCAGUUCCAAUCGAAUUCUCAGCGGAUGACACAGUAAACAUAUUGGUGUUAGAUGAACUAGAUUACGACCGCUUUGAAAUGGGUAGGGAACUUCAACGGUGUCUUGCUUGGAUUACAGACGUGCAAACAAAGGUUUAUGAUGUAGUCAUGGAUGUUGUAUCCAAUGACUGUGGUGGAAUGUUCUUUCUAUAUGGCCAUGGUGAAACGGGAAAGACGUUUCUAUGGGUAAACUCUUUCGGCUGCAGUUCGUUCCAAAGGAGAGAUUGUAAUUAACGUUGCAUCGAGUGGUAUAGCAUCGUUAUUGCUCCCCGGUGGAAGAACAACUCAUUCUCGAUUCGGACUACCCAUAAAUGUACACGAGAGUUCCACCUGUAGCAUAUCGCAACAAAGUCCACAGGCGGAAUUGUUCAUAAGGGCAAAGCUAUAUGGGACAAGGCUCCUAUGAUGCAUAUAUGCUGUUUUGAAGCGCUUGACAAGAAAAUGAAGUCAAUAUUACAGGUUGACAAACUCUUUGGUGGAAAGGUGGUUGUUUUUAGAGGAUAUUUUAGGCAGAUUUUACCAGUUGUGCUCAAAUCAUCAAGGCAGGACAUAGUACAUGCUAAUAUAAACUCCUCUUCGCUGUGGAAUUUCUGUCGUGUCAUGAAGUUGACUAAGAACAUGAGAUUGCAGUCAUGCUCUUCUCCAUCUAACGUGGAUGAGGUAAAAGAAUUUGGAGACUGGAUACUGAAGGUUGGUAGUGAGGAUGUUGGGGAACAAAAUCAUGGUGAAGCUUCGAUAGUGAUUCCCGAUGACAUGUUGAUUGGUGAUUCAGAAGAUCCAUUCAGAGACCUACUGGAUUUCGUUUACCCGGAUUGUUGAGUAACAUAUAUGAUCCAGAUUAUUUUCAAUGGAGAGCAAUUCUUGCACCAACUAAUGAAUGCGUCGAGUUUGUGAACGAUCACUUAAUGUCUCUCCUUCCAGGAGAGGAGAAGGUGUACCUGAGCUCAGAUAGUAUGUUUAGGGACGAGCAAACAAUGGAGGAUAGUGCAGAAAUUUAUUCGACUGAAUUCCUCAACACAAUAAGAUGCUCCGAACUUCGUUCUCAUGCGUUGAAGUUCAAGAUUGGUGCACCCGUUAUGCUAAUAAGAAACAUCGAUCAAGCUAAAGGAUUGUGUAACGGGACCAAACUUCAAAUUAUUAGAACUAGCAUUCACGUUCUGAGUUACAAAACUCUUUCCGGAAAAAAUAUCGGUGACAUGGUGUUCAUCCUCGGAUGACUUUAAUACCAUCUACCGGACUGCCAAUUAAAUUUCAGAGAAGACUGUUUCUAUUGAUUGUUUCUUUUGCAGUGACGAUCAAUAAAAGCCAAGGUCAAACUCUUUCGCAUGUUGGUUUGUAUCUUCCUAAGCAUGUCUUCAGCCAUGAUCAACUAUAUGUUGCACUGUCCAGAGUUACGAGCAGAGGUGGCAUUAAGAUAUUCAUCAAGUUGGAUUCGAGUGAACUCACCAAUGUUACUAGAAAUGCCAUGUACAAGGAAGUAUUUCAUCGAAUUUGAAGGUAGAGAAUAUUUUCAUAUUUACCAAUUAUUAUCAAAUUUGAAGGUAGAGAAUAUUUUCAUAUUUACCAAUUAUUCAUGUAACAUGUCUUUUUUUUAACAACUUAUUCUUUGGCAGGUGUUUCUUCUCUAUAUAAUUUCCCCCGUGCGAUGUUAUUUUCAAUCAUGUCCCUAGGAUGCUCAGUGCAAAUUUUAUUAUCUUUAAGAUUUAUUUUUGACGAUAUACUAAUAUUUUAAUAUUAUUCUUAUGAUGUAACUAUGAAGAACAUGAUGCUUCAAUAUUGCUGGUCGCUUUUUGUAUUUGAAUUCAAUGAGCGUAAUAAUUUAUAUAUGCGUAAAUUUAUUUUUCAGACAUGUAUUUCCAGUUGAAAAUAUGUCACCCCGUGCAUCGCACGGGUGAAUACUAGUUCAUUAAUAAUAUGGGUGAAUAUGGUAAGUGGGGUUAUUUUGAAAUUAAUAAUAAUAUGUGAUAUAUGUGGUGGAACAUAAUUGCAUUUCAGUCUCACGGUUUUUUUAUCGAAAAUAUUAUAAUAAAAAAAAAACUCAUUAAACAAUAAAAAGACACUAUUUUGUCAUGUAGGAUAGAUGAAAUUUGAAAAUUGGGUUUUUUUUGGCAAUUAAUAUAAUAUUGUGCAUAAAAUUUAAUUAACCCAAAUUAAGUGGAAUGUACAUUUAUAUAUCUACGUUUUUAAUAUGAAGCAAUUGAUUGAAAAAGGAAACUCAAUAACCAAUAAAAAGACACCAUUUUGACAUGUAGGAGAGAUAAAAUUUUAAAACCAAUAAUGUCAAAUUAAUUGAUUAAUAAUAUGGGUGAAUAUGGUAAGUGGGUUAUUUUGAAAUUUAUAAAAUAAUGUAGACUCAAUCUCCUCAACUGGAUAACUUUUAUUGUGUAUUUUAGUUUUAUAUAUAAUAUAGAUGUCACUACCAAAUUAUUACAUAAUUACCACUCACUAUGUAAUUAAAAACUACCACUUAGUAGGUAAUUACAAAAUUAUCACUCAACAUGUAAUUAAAGAACUACCACUCAACCCGUAAUUACGAAAGUGUCACUCAACAGUAAUAAUAUAACGACCACUUAUCAAAUAAUUUCAUAAUUGCCACUCAGCAGGUAAAUAAAGAACUGCACUCAGCAGGUAAUUACGGAAUUGCCACUUACCGAUUAAUUAUAGAACUACCGCUGAACAUUAAUAAGAGAACUGCCACGCACCAAGUAAUUACAGAAUUACCAUUCACCAAGUAAUUAAAGAAAUGUCACUUAACAUCGUAAUUACAGAACUGUCACUCACCAGAUAGUUAAAGAACUGCCACUCAACAAAUAAUAACAUAACUCCCAUUAAGCAUUAAUUACGGAAGUACCACUCACCAGGUAAUUAUAGAAAUGCCUCACCAAGUAAUUAUAGAACUGCCACUUAAUAGUAAUUCUGAAAUUGCCGCUCAUCAAGUAAUUACACAAUUGCUAAACACCAAGUAAUUAUAUGAUUUCCACUCAACAAUAAUUGCAGAACUUCCAAUCAUCAAGUAACUAGAGAACUACCACACAACAGAUAAUUACAGGACUGCCAUUCAACAUUAAUUAUAAAAUUGACAUUCAACAGCAACAGAAUUCCCACUCACCGUUAAUUACAACACUGCUACUUAACAGUAAUUACAGAACUGCCACGCAUCAAGUAAUUACAUAAUGUUCACUCACUUGGUAAUUACAGAAAUCCCACUCAACAUCGUAAUUAUGGAAAUGCCACUCACAAAUAAUUACAGAACUGCAGUUCAUCAAUGAUUAUAGAAGUGACACGCACCCGAUAAUUACAUAACUACCACUCAACAACAAUUAUAAAAUUGUCACUCAACAAAUAAUUAAUGAACUGCCAUUUACCAAUAACUAUUGAACUAUCAUUCACCAAAUAAUUACAGAACUGCCACUCAGUUAUUAAAGAAUUUUCACUCAACAAGUAAUUACAGCCACUCAGUAGUACUUACAUAACUGCCACUCAUCAAUAAUUACAAAACUAGUACUGAACAUAUAAUUACAGAACUGUCAUUCUACAGGUAAUUACAGUACUGGCAUAUAAAUACAGAAUAGUCAUUCACCAGGUAAUUACAAAACUACCACUUAACAAUAAUUACAGAUCUGCCACUCAUCAAGUAAUUAAAGAACGACCAUGCACCAAGUAAUUAUAGCACUGCCACUGAACAAUAAUUACAGAACUGUCAUACAUAAAGUAAUUAUAUAACUAACACUCAUCAAAUAGUUACAGAACUGUCGUUUAGCAGUGAUACAGAACUGUUACUCACUAAGUAAUUACAAAACUAGCACUCAUCAGGUAAUUACAGAACUGUCACUCACUAAAGAAGUAUAUAAUUGUCACUCAAAAAUUAUUACACAACUCAAACUCAUCAAGUAUUUACAAAAUUUCCACUCAACCAGUAAUUACAAAAGUGCUACUCAACAGUAAAUACAUAAGUGUCGCUAAGCAGUGAUUAAAUAACUGUCACUCAGCAAAUAAUUAAAGAACUGCCACUCAUUAGCAAUUACAGACACUCAACAAAUAAUUACAUAAUUGCCACUCAACAAAUGAUUAAAAAAAUGCUUCUAAGAGCAUCACCAAGAGUGUAAUGCAAAAUCAUAUUUUACACAAUAUGAACAAUCAAGAGCAAAAAAGUGAGCUCCAAGAGGAAAAUGCAUAAUUUUUAAAUUGGCUAAAUCGGGGAAAAUUACAGUUAAUGUCCCUAAAUUUUACCACUAAAACGAUUUAUGUCCUCAAACAUUUCAAUCCACGAAAUAUGUCAUCAAACUUGCCACUUUUGAUCACUUUAUGUUCUGCCGUUAACGUCGGCAGCUAACUUCGAUGGAAAUAGCACGCGUGGCUCACGUGACGUCUAUGUGGCCGUUAAAUGUCGAGCUGUACAACACCCAGUGCCUACUUGGUCGACGAAACGUGAUGUGGAGCGACACGUCAUUCUCCUCCCCUAUUUCUAUUCUAAAAUCCCUAAUUCUCCAUAUCCCCAAUGAACCCGUAAAUCCAAUCCCUAAAACCCCAUUUCGAAUCCUUCAAUUGAGGUGAAAUUCGAAAAUAACAGAAUCGUCUGUGAAUCCAUGGCCAUUUUUCGUGGUAUUUUACCAGCAAAAUAGCCCAAUAAACAAAUGCGAAUGUUUCCUCGAUUUCACUUUCAUCUUCGGGCUGAAAUAUCAUGUCUUCUUCCACUUCGUUGAGGAAGUCGGGGAGCUGGAAUCCGUUCUUGGGCACUCUAUUCUUGGCGAAAAAAGAAUUAUAUGCAGCUUUGACAGGUGCUGCAUGUUUCUUUUUUCCGGAAUUGGUUCAAACAUUUUGUCGAACACCUUCUGGGCAGGUUCUGAAUCUGCUGAGUUGGGUAGAAUUUGUGCCAUCUUCACCAUCCUUGUGCUCGCUUCAUCGAGACCACAAGGGGCACAAGCAUCAGCAAGCGAAGAAUCACACGACCCCAACGUUCUAGAGACGGAGUUGGGAGAAAAAUUAAAGCUUCCUCUAAAAUCUUUUUCAUAACCAUAAGAGGAGUCGCGUUUACCUUCUUCCUCUCGAUUGCAGACAUGUGUUUGCACGUGAAUCUGUGGUUCUUUGAGAAGGGAAAAACUCUUCAAAUGUGAGAAUGUUUGGAUUUUUUUUAUGAAACGUGAUUUGGGAUUUGGGAUUUGGGCAGAGUGGAUUAGAGGAAAUUAGUAUAUUCUUGUGCCACGUCAACAUUUAAUAUUCAAUAUAUUAUUCCACGUCACAUUUAACGGCCACAUAGACGUCACGUGAGCCACGCGUGCUAUUUCCAUCGAAGUUAGCUGCCGACGUUAACUGCCGACGUUAACGGCAGAACAUAAAGUGAUCAAAAGUGGCAAGUUUGAGAACAUAUUUCGUGGAUUGAAAUGUUUGAGGACAUAAACCGUUUUAGUGGUAAAAUUUAGGGACAUAAAUUGUAAUUUUCCCGCUAAAUUGUAACUUUGGCUUCUCAAAUUUGAAAAACCAAAAAUACAAUUUAGCAAAUCUAGGAAAUAUUAAAAUAAUAUUAUAUUAUACUUUAUAAUAUAUUUACCAUUAAAAAAUAUUUUAUAUUAUCUUACUUGUUUUUUGCAAAUGAAUGUACUAAAGAUGAAAUUUAAUUACUAUUUUACUUAGUAUUAAUAAUAACAAAAUUAAAAUAAAAAAAUAUUUCAUAACGAAUUAUAAAAUUUUAAUGUUUAUUAAUAUAUGUCAAUUAAGUUAUUGAAAUUUAAUUUAUUAAAUUUAAAAUUAAUUUUGUAUACUUAUUAAUUAGUAUUAUUAAUUAUUAGUAUAUUAACUAAAAUAAAAGUCAAAUAAAUUUAUAAAACAAAAAUUAUAUAAGAUUCAACAUAUAAAUAUAUGUUUAUAAUAAUACACAUUUUUAUUAAUAUUUUAAAAUAAUUGAAUAUCAUGUAGAAACUAUUUAAUAAAAAAUAAUUAAAUAUAAUAAUUGUGUAAAAUAUAAACAAUGUUGUUGGAUUGCAGUGUUAAAAGUGAAGUGGUAAAAUACUGUUCGUUGGUUUUAUUAUAGAUAUAGACAAUCGUUUUUAGACAAACUCUUAGAGAUGGCCUAAGCAGCAACCUACAGAACUCACACUCAACAAAUAACAAAUAAUUACAUAACUGCCACUCAGCAGCAAUUACAGAACUCACGCUCAACAAAUAAUUACAAAACUUUUCCAUUGACCAAGUAAAUUACACUUUGUGAUAAUCUUCGAGACUUGUUCUUGUGUAGGUACAGUCCAUUCUUCACUAAAAUUAUCUUCAUAAAAUAGCUGAAGAAGAUGAGGGGCUUUGGAAUAACGCUGCUGAUUCGUAGACCAAUUGUUGCUGCUAAAUCUUCUCACCAAUACGGUAUUUUUGUUCAUCCCUUUUCUUUAUUCCGUUCAAAUUUUCACAAAGAUCGAUCCUUUUCACCUAAACCCAGAAUAGAUUUGAGUUGUAUAAAUGAAGUAGACGAUGCUGUUUUCUUGUUUGGUCAAAUGGUAAGAAUGCAGCCACAGCCUUCCGUU